Molecule: non-coding RNA, 83 nt
Organism: Mustela erminea (ermine)
Lineage: Eukaryota; Metazoa; Chordata; Mammalia; Carnivora; Mustelidae
Source: the annotation of a RefSeq genome assembly
ACCGGGAUGGCCAAGUGGUUAAGACGUUGGACUUAAGAUCCAAUGGGCAUGUGCCUGCAUGGGUUUGAACCCCAUUCCCGGUA